UUUAGCUUCUGUUCUUGUAGCUAACAUAAUUGCAAUACAUAAGAACAAGCUCCUCGUCAUCAAGCAUUACAACGUCUGACUGAACAUGUUUUUAUUCAUAU
Long non-coding RNA from Neltuma alba, 101 nucleotides. RefSeq lists it as uncharacterized. Lineage: Eukaryota; Viridiplantae; Streptophyta; Magnoliopsida; Fabales; Fabaceae. The transcript has 3 exons. The record is from RefSeq and is a predicted model, not a curated record.